CACCCCAUAGAUGGGGAACCUGUCUAUUUCGGUUAAAUCGCAUUCUGGACUUGAGACAGAGAGGAUGCGGUUUCCAGUUACCUGGUGGACCUGGAAGGUUGUGUUCCAGAGGAGAGAAGCUGGGUUCCUGAUAGGGACAUAUUGGAUCACUGUCACGCUGUCUCUCUGUUUCUCUGGGUGUCCACUAGUGGGCUCACUUCCCCUUAGGCACUUCACCGUAUGCACUAGAAUUCCACUGUGAUGUGAUGGGUAAACAAAAUGAAACAUUACACUCUCUUCUCAACCAUGCUUGAAAUGUAGAGGCACACCCAGUGGGAAAACGAAACUAUAAUGGGAGAUGGGAAAUAAUCCAGAAAUGUUUGAUACUGCCAUAGCGGAAC
Long non-coding RNA from Carassius auratus (goldfish), 380 nucleotides. RefSeq lists it as uncharacterized. The record is from RefSeq and is a predicted model, not a curated record. The transcript is spliced from 3 exons. Lineage: Eukaryota; Metazoa; Chordata; Actinopteri; Cypriniformes; Cyprinidae.